This is a long non-coding RNA of Mytilus trossulus (common blue mussel), 1428 nucleotides long. RefSeq lists it as uncharacterized. The transcript has 3 exons. The record is from RefSeq and is a predicted model, not a curated record. NCBI's taxonomy places the organism in Eukaryota, Metazoa, Mollusca, Bivalvia, Mytilida, Mytilidae.
ACUGAAAUAAGUACCACAAACACAAAUAGAUAUCAGAAAAAAACUGUCAGAGAGAAAUUAAGCAUGCUGUUUUUGAAAAAAUUGUGAAAAAAGUGAAAAAGCUACAUUUUAGGCAUUUAACCUGAAAAGUGACUUUUUCACAAAAUUUCUAUCAAAUGAAAGUGAAAAUCAUUUCUUCUCAUAUAGUUUGACAAAUCAAUACCAAUAAAUCAUUCAGAAAAGAUGCCAAAGUAAAAAUUCAAAAUUUGCUGAAAUGCACCUCUUAGGCCACAGACCACAAUUAAUUCCUCUAUCAGUUCUUUAUAACCUUUUGAAUCAUUAAAAAAAUUGCACCAUGCACUUUUGUCAAUUUUUUUGUGUGUGUAAUGUAUUGUCCUAGUCCAAAUAUAUAUCCAAAAUUCAGAAAGAUUGAAGCAAUCACUUUUACAAAUUUAGCCAAUACACAUCCAUACCCCUAUUGACAAGUCAAGAGAUGUUCCAAAAACUGUAAAUAUCACCUUUUUGCACUUGACCUAAUCACUCAUUCCAUAUCAAAAUCAGUUAAAAUACAACCUCCAAAAAUUUAUUUGACCUCUCUUCUUUCAUUUCCACCCAAAAAGAUUUAAGGAAUGAGUGAGGAAAGGAAAGAAAAAAAAUUAAGGAAAAAUACACUCUAAUUAAAAGGAACUAUAUUCGUGGACAACGAAAAGCGGGGUCAUUAAUUGUGGUCUUGGGCCUAUUACAGUAAUUUGAUAAAAAUUGUAUAUUAAGGGCAUAUGAUAGAGUUGAUGUUGCUAAUGUAAAAUGUUAUUUUUGCCAUUCAAUGGGAGAUAACUCAUAAUUUACCUUUAUAAACAAUGGAAUAUAUUUAAAUUAUUAUUUUUGUGGAGUUGAAAAUUCAAUCAAUAAACUUAAGACUUACUGUUUUUGAUUUUAAUCUUUUAUAUUGAUUUUACAGUUAUUUAUGUUAUAGUAAGAAAUUGGAAUAAUGUUUGGUAAAUGUCAGGGAAAUUGAAAUAUAAAGUAUAUAAAUUGUAAAUUUUCAUAUAUUUCAGGUUUUUUUUGUGAGAUUUUUUCAUGGUGUGGGAAUAAGACUUGGAGGUCUAAUACAGCUAGUAUAUAGAUUAGCAUCAGCUUGUCUGUAAGGAUUGAGGCUGAUAAUGGCCAUUGGAGCUGAAUAAUAUGGUGACUUCAACUGUGGCUGCAGGAAAUUAUUGUGCAAUACAACUGAAACCAAAAAGAAUGUAAUUCAGACUAUUUUUGUGUAUGUUUUAAAAAAUGUUCAUAUUUUUUUACCAAAAAAAAAAUUUAAAAAUUGUAAAGAUUCUCCAUUUUCAACAAAGCUGGAAGUUGUUGGCUAAAUUGAUACUUCAUAAUUUUACAAUUUUACUUUUAGACCUACUCUUGAUAUCUUAAUUAUGGUCAAUGUGUUAUCAAACAUUUCCAGAA